This 586-nucleotide ribosomal RNA is filed under the name Colletotrichum gloeosporioides. Its description in RNAcentral is "eukaryotic LSU rRNA". The stretch from base 213 to 366 matches the Rfam family "5.8S ribosomal RNA". The record is from RNAcentral. Lineage: Eukaryota; Fungi; Ascomycota; Sordariomycetes; Glomerellales; Glomerellaceae.
AAAAAUCCACCCCCUGAGGACUUAUGAGUUUACGCUCUACAACCCAUAUAUAGUAGAACAUACCUAUAUACUAGUUAGCUUCGAGCGAGGUAGAGAGUCUCCGAUGACCCUCCCGAGCCUCCCGCCCCCGAGGCGAGGUCGGCGCCCGCCGGAGAGAUAAACAAACUCUGAUUUAACGACGUUUCUUCUGAGUGGUACAAGCAAAUAAUCAAAACUUUUAACAACGGAUCUCUUGGUUCUGGCAUCGAUGAAGAACGCAGCGAAAUGCGAUAAGUAAUGUGAAUUGCAGAAUUCAGUGAAUCAUCGAAUCUUUGAACGCACAUUGCGCCCGCCAGCAUUCUGGCGGGCAUGCCUGUUCGAGCGUCAUUUCAACCCUCAAGCUCUGCUUGGUGUUGGGGCCCUACAGCUGAUGUAGGCCCUCAAAGGUAGUGGCGGACCCUCCCGGAGCCUCCUUUGCGUAGUAACUUUACGUCUCGCACUGGGAUCCAGAAGGACUCUUGCCGUAAAACCCCCAAUAUUCCAAAGGUUGACCUCGGAUCAAGUAAAAAUACCCGCUGAACUUAAGCAUAUCAAUAAGACAGAGGAA